Molecule: long non-coding RNA, 1198 nt
Organism: Mustela erminea (ermine)
Lineage: Eukaryota; Metazoa; Chordata; Mammalia; Carnivora; Mustelidae
Exons: 3
Source: RefSeq, a predicted model, not a curated record
UUCUGUGAGAGAGUAGAAAAAAGGGUCAUUAUUUGAGUAUUUAUAUUCAGCCUUAGUAUUUUAAAAAUAACAUUCUAUUUAAAAGUGACAUUUUUCACAGUUUUAUGAUGUGAACGUCAUUAUGUCUUAAAGCAGUGAUGAUGUGAAAAAAAACCUUAGAAAUACUAAUGUGAACUAAAUAUUUAAUUUCAAGGGACAUAGUUUUACAUUAAUUAUUCAUUUUCCCUGGUCUUUCAUAGUGUUUAUCGGUGGCAAGGAUAUAUCCUUAAAACAGAAACCUGCACUCUGGGUGAGAAUGCUUUGAUGUGUUACCAUAAAUGAGGACUUGUUGGCACUAAAAUACCUCCAGGCUGCCCCAAAUCAAACAUCUAGGUUUUCGAGCCGAGGAGAGCCAAAAGUCUUUUGUAUCCUGAGAGUGGAAGACAGUGAUCUUUGUGCUGCCGGCCUUGGGCACUACUGGGAAGCUCUAAUGAGCCAAGAGGUGGGAAGUGCUCUGGUGACUGGAGUACCACCCAGAUGUAAGACAGUAUCCUUAAAUGACUCUCCUGAGAAACCCUCUGGCCCACAUUUCUACGUCACUUCAGAUCCACAGGAGUCAAGUUUCUCUGUCAAUCUACGGAAGUCUUUGUAAGCAUCAGUGAUGGAGGAGACCCGGAUCCAAAAGCCAGCCAACCUGCAAACAAACGGUAACACAGGCAGGCUGGUUGCCGACUCUGAAAAACAAGCGCCCAGCCUACAGCUGCUGUCUCAAAUGUGGGCGAGAGGCCCUUCAGCGGCGGAGUUACACAGAUCUUCACAGGCCUCCAACCACAGGACCCGCGUGCAAAUACCGCACGUAAGUGCUGUGUGGUUUCCACUUGCACCUGCCAGGCCAAGGGUGUAAAAUAGUUUAUAUGGCAAAUUCUGAGUCUUCUAAGAGCUGCUUCAUGAUCUCUGAAAGAAAGACCAGACAGAGAUAGUCCUGACCAGCUGCUGAAGGCCUCCAUGCAGGUCUACCCUUACCUUCUGCAGUUGACUGAGCCUUAAAUGAAACUUUCUGUAGCCUCUCUGAAAGACAGGGGCAGGUGUUCGACAUCCUGUUCCUAAAAGGUGAGCCAAAUGACUACCCUGAAUGCCCACAUGUUUUUCUUUUCGGGGUUACCUGUUACACCUGUGUGUAUCUUUAACUCGGUAUCCUGCAAUAAUUUUACCCGUAGAG